AAACUGGGAUUAGAUACCCCACUAUGCCCCACCGUAAACUUUUAAUUACAUCUACAUCGCCCGGGAACUACGAGCAAAGCUUAAAACCCAAAGGACUUGACGGUACCCCACAUCCAUCUAGAGGAGCCUGUCCUAUAAUCGAUAAUCCCCGUUUAACCUCACCAUUUUUAGCCUAUACAGCCUGUAUACCUCCGUCGCCAGCUUACCACGUGAGCGACCCCCAGUAAGCCUAAUGAUUUUAAACCAACACGUCAGGUCAAGGUGCAGCAAAUAAAAUGGAAAGAGAUGGGCUACACUCUCUAAUUUAGAGCAUACGAAAGACUAUCUAUGAAACCUAGUCAGAAGGAGGAUUUAGCAGUAAAAAGAAACUAGAGAGCUCUUUUUAACACGGCACUGGGGUGUGUACACACCGCCCGUCACCCUCUUCGAAGUCAAUAAAAAAGUUCAUAACACAUUUUAACCAAAGAGAAGAGACAAGUCGUAACAUGGUAAGUAUACCGGAAGGUGUGCUUGGAAA
RNAcentral lists this ribosomal RNA (517 nucleotides) under Phyllodytes kautskyi. RNAcentral describes it as "partial 12S ribosomal RNA". It matches the Rfam family "Bacterial small subunit ribosomal RNA", at positions 769 to 1522 of the family's 1533-position model. The record is from RNAcentral. Lineage: Eukaryota; Metazoa; Chordata; Amphibia; Anura; Hylidae.